Argiope bruennichi is the source of this 1965-nucleotide long non-coding RNA. RefSeq lists it as uncharacterized. The transcript is spliced from 3 exons. The record is from RefSeq and is a predicted model, not a curated record. Lineage: Eukaryota; Metazoa; Arthropoda; Arachnida; Araneae; Araneidae.
CAAAACUGGUUGUUCAAAGUUGGACCUCUUAAUAUUUCCCUCGCAGGUAUCGACUGUCCAAACAUUCCAGUGUGGCUUUACACCUGGACAAGAAUUAGUUGCAGAACUUCAAUAUACGAAACUUUUAAAGAAUAACGAUAAGUGGAAAUCAACCUGUACACUAUUAUAAAGGACUUCAUCUACAAGUUCUACUAAUUAUGUCAAAAGACGUACCAAGAUACGUACUAGAACCCUCAAGCCAUCUUAAAAUAUUUCCAUUAGAGAGGAUGUGCCAGAUAAAAAUUAUGAACAUUUUAUGCAGAAAGCAGCAAUUAAUCAGUGUGAUUAGAAAUGCUUCGUUUCCGGAAAAAUUUUCCGACGCAUUAAACCUGACAAAAAAAGAAGCAUUCAGAAACGUUGAAGCUAAGGCAGAAGAGCUUCUUUCAGAUAUUUUCAAGGUGAAAAACUGUCGAACAUUAAUAUUGGAAAUGCUUUUUCCAGCUUUUUACAGGAUAAUAUUUUGGAAGCAUAUCUAUGCUCCAACCGUUGAUGACAGAUUUCUGCAUACAUUUUACUUUACACACAGAGGUGUAAUAGACAAUGAAAAAACUGCAAUACAUUUAUUGGAAAAUGAAAUGAUUCCGGUGAGAAAGCGAUUUAUGAUCGCUCGUAGUUUAUGUUUAGAUACAGAAAUAUAUCAAAUGUGGGAAAAUAUGGACUCUAAUGACAGGAAUUCUUUACAUAGAGAAGUUUUUGAAAUGUGGUAUAGAAUUGACGCCGAGGACGCGCUUUCUAUACGAAAAGUCAAUAACGAAAUCUACCCACUGCUUUAUUUCUGGCUUGAAAAACUUGAAAACCCCGAUUUGGAGCACAUAGAAGAUCUGAAGGCAGCAAUUUUUUCUGCAAUAGAUGUCGGGUCCAUAUCUGCAGUUAAAUACCUUUUUAGAUUAUUACGAUCAGAAGUGGCGAAUGGCACGGCAAUAGUCUUUCACAGUUACUUACAUAAUGAUCGGAUAUGUUCCUUGCUUCCCGAAGAAGAAGAGAUUGACAUUAAAAAAUUCCUCAUUUCGAUGAUGUUUAAAAAAUUUCAAAAAAUAAGUAAACUUUAAAUUUGAAAAGAUUGAUGACUUUGCAGACACUUUUAUACUACUCAGCAGUUUGAAAUACUGUCAUUAUUAACAUACUAAGCUCGUUGUUCGAACAUGGAAUUCAAUGACAUACACUUUAUGUAUUUGCAAAGUUACUCCAUAGAUAAUUGUAUAUAGUAGACAGUUGUAUUUGUUGGUGUAUAUUAUACAUUAGUAAUAGUCUCGUAUGAUUUAAGGUGGCAUGAAAUUUCAAGAUUGCGCAUAUAGUUUCGCAAUACAUUGCGGAGACUCUUAUUACUCAGCAGAUUGAAAUCUCAUCAUGAUUAAUAUAUUAAGCUCGUAAUUCAAAAAUGGAGUUCAUUGAUAUGCACUUUAUAUAUUUUAAAACAAGAUGUUCCGUGGAUAAUUGCAUACAGUAGAUUGUUGUAUUUGUUGUUAUAUAUUAUACAUUAGUGAUUAUAUAGUAUAAUUUAAGGUGGCACGAAAUUUUUAGAUUGCGUGUAUGGUUUCGCAAUACAUUGCGGAGACUCUUUUUACUCAGCAGUUUGAAAUCCCGUCAUGAUUGACAUACUAACCUCGUUACUCGGACAUGGAGUUCACUGAAAUGCACUUUGUGUAUUUACAAAAAAGAUGCUCCUUGGAUAAUUGUAUACAGUAGAUAGUUGUAUUUGUUGUUGUAUAUUAUACAUUAGUGAUAGUCUCAUAUAAUUAAAUGUGGCAUGAAAUGAAAAAUUCAUCAAAAUAUCGAUAUUUUUCUAUUGAUUUAUAUAACUAGAAUUAUUAUAUCUGUAAUAUUCCAUAGCUGUAUCUAUAAUUUUUAUUAAGUCAUUUAAUAAUUUUUGAUACAUGAAAGGAGAACAAACAAUAUUGUUACACUUAUUUUUCAAAUCUCUUGCUA